Molecule: long non-coding RNA, 227 nt
Filed under: Prunus persica (peach)
Lineage: Eukaryota; Viridiplantae; Streptophyta; Magnoliopsida; Rosales; Rosaceae
Description: long non-coding RNA (PPER_LNC000148)
Source: RNAcentral
GAAAAACAUAUAUUUUAGAAAUUUCAAUUUGUACUCCGCUACUCAUAAAGGAAAGGCAAUAACAAAUCAUAGGAGAAUGAAACGCUCUCAAACCCAAAUCCUAGCCUCUCUUUAGUGCUGCAACAAGGGGGAAGGUGGUCUCUGCCAAUCCUCCCUUCUCCCCUCUCCCCCUCAUCUCUUCUCCUCUUCCCCCUUUUCUUUUCUCCUCUGCCCUCUUCCCUUUCAAC